AGAUGCAGUGCCCUGGCUGCAACAUCUGCCACCCCACUGAUCCACAGGGUUGAUUCAGUUGAUCUGGCUGGCUAGGCAGGUGUCCCCUUCCUCCCUCACUGCUCCAUGUGUGUCCCUCCCAAAGCUGCACACUUACUCAGUGGAAGAGUAUGGCCUUCCCAGAAUAGCGAUGGACCAUCUUCAGCUGAGGGGAUGCGAACAGCUGUGCUCCCCUGCUAGAACCUCCAAACAAGCUCUUCCAGGUCCAUUCUAGCAGAUCAUAUGUUUGCUGCCCACCUGUGUUCUCUCUCUUAUUUCAGUACAUGAUCCUCAGCUUUUUAAA
Molecule: unclassified non-coding RNA, 322 nt
Organism: Erinaceus europaeus (western European hedgehog)
Lineage: Eukaryota; Metazoa; Chordata; Mammalia; Eulipotyphla; Erinaceidae
Gene: 7SK
Rfam family: 7SK RNA
About the family: 7SK was discovered as an abundant small nuclear RNA in the mid-70s but a possible function has only recently been suggested. Two independent studies have found that 7SK RNA binds the CDK9/cyclin T complex (known as elongation factor P-TEFb).
Source: Ensembl